AUACCGUGGUGGGGGAAUUUCCUCAAUAACUCCUUGAAGCGCUCCCAAGCAUCAUAUAAUGACUCUCCAUCCAUCUGAUAGAAAUUAUUAAUUUCGCACCUUAAUUU
This is a small nucleolar RNA of Humulus lupulus (European hop), 107 nucleotides long. NCBI's taxonomy places the organism in Eukaryota, Viridiplantae, Streptophyta, Magnoliopsida, Rosales, Cannabaceae. The record is from RefSeq and is a predicted model, not a curated record.